Molecule: long non-coding RNA, 1007 nt
Filed under: Equus caballus (horse)
Lineage: Eukaryota; Metazoa; Chordata; Mammalia; Perissodactyla; Equidae
Description: lncRNA (ENSECAG00000045121.1)
Source: RNAcentral
ACGAAAUCCGAUCGCUGCCGUGUCCUGGGAUCCCCGCGGGGCUGGAGCGUCCAUCCACGGGACUGAAGACCGAGUUUCCCCAGGAGUCGCGGCCCUGCGAGGGUUUGCAACUGUGGGAAGGAGAGGAGAAGCAAAGCCACCCAAGAAGUGACCCUGAGAGUUUCAAGUCCAGGAGACUAGGAUUUCAGGAUGAAGAUCUGUGUGCAGAGGAUGAGAAUUUGGCCUAACAAUCCCUCAGGAGAAAACUGAGCUCUCAGAGCUCAAGUGAUCAGACCAGUUGGUGAACAUCGAAGAAUGUCUGGCAAGUGUCACCUUUCUUGGCAUCGAUUCCCAGUGUCCCCACUCAGACGGAGUCCAAACAACUACAAUUACCCUGUUCAACCAGGGCCUGCAUCCUGCUUUAGCUGAAUCAAAAUCCUAGGGACCAGAGAGGGUUAUCGGUUCAUCUUCCUGCCCCAGGCACCUCAGGACUCCCUGACAGUUGAGGGAGAAGCUUUUGCUGUUCACCUCCAAGAUUCCAACGGUCUGUUCUGUUCUUCCCAGGGGGUGGGGUGCAGUGGGGAGCCAAGUGAGAUGGUAUAUGAAGAGAGCUGUGAGAUUUGGAUAUUUUUCCAGAGAGGUGGUAAGAAGGCUCCUGAAGUGAACUGCGCUUGUCCCAGUGAAGGGAAUGUGAGGCAGAGGGCCCUUUUGUUCAGAAUUCUUUUGCAUUUGAGAGUCGUGCUAGUUGGAUGAACCAGCCAACCCUGUUCUUUAUUUCCUUGUGUGUUUUGUCUUACAUAACACUCAAAUGAACCCAGGCCAAACAGAUAAUGGGUUCUGAAAGUUCAAAUAGUGAGAAUGACAUACCCAUAUAUGCACAAAGUGGGACAGGGCCGACUUAUGAUUUGAACAGGGACAUGUGGUGACUAGAUGCUCAACCUUUGAAAGCGUGGUCACUUCUAUUUGUUGGCGUAACAACUAAUAGAGCAGAGAUGUGUAGUGAAAGUUUUGGAACAAGACAAACUGGG